Molecule: long non-coding RNA, 801 nt
Organism: Bactrocera dorsalis (oriental fruit fly)
Lineage: Eukaryota; Metazoa; Arthropoda; Insecta; Diptera; Tephritidae
Exons: 3
Source: RefSeq, a predicted model, not a curated record
CAAAACGCAAGCGCUACAACCCCCAAAAGCGUUGGGAAGUUGCCGAGGAAAAAGCGUUGAUUGAAUUCCUUCUAGAGAAUCGCGAUUUUGAAAAACCAUCGGCACGGCUAUUUUAUAAUCGCUUCGCGAAUGAAAAACAAAUCCUGGUCGAGUGGAAAUCAGCGCGCUCAAAAGUAAGAAAUAUGCGAUCUGCAAAUAAUAAAGCAAAGGAAUGGGAAGGAAGUACUGGCGCUGGUUGAAUGGAUGGCGAUACUAUAAAAAGCGUUUUGCUCAAAAAGUUUCGCUAUUUCUACGAAUUUGACGAUAUUUUCGGUGCCCGACUAAACGCUUGUGCUGUAGUUGAAGAAAUAAUGGAAAGUGCUGAUACUACCAUUGAAGUCCUGUGCAAAUUGAAAUUCCUAUUGUAAAUGAAACAGUUACCACUCCAAGGCAAGGAGGAAUAUACUCCAGAAAAGCGGCUUCCGAUAUUAUGCAAAUCCAUGGCGAAAUAAUGACAUUGCGAAAGCAAAAGUAAGAGGCAGAAUUCACUGCAAGGGAAAGAGAGUUCGAGCAAAAAGAAAAAGAGUUGCAGUUAAAAGCUAAAGAAGUGGAGCUCAAAGAAAUUGAAAUAUAAGCGCUAAAAGACAUCAAACAAAUAGAGCUACAGAUGAAAGAGCGAAUCGCCAUGGAGGAGCUAAAGCUGAAGUACAAAUAAAUUUUUAAAACUUAUUUAGUAUACGAAAUGACCAAUUUUUAUAUUUUUUACUUUUGUUUUCAAUGAGAUGGACUCACACAUCGUUUUAUACGAUGGUUUAAUUUAAA